GACGAACGCUGGCGGCGUGCUUAACACAUGCAAGUCGAACGGUAAGGCCCUUCGGGGUACACGAGUGGCGAACGGGUGAGUAUCACGUGGGUGAUCUGCCCUGCACUUCGGGAUAAGCCUGGGAAACUGGGUCUAAUACCGGAUAGGACCACUGCCUGCAUGGGUGGUGGUGGAAAGCUUUUGCGGUGUGGGAUGGGCCCGCGGCCUAUCAGCUUGUUGGUGGGGUGAUGGCCUACCAAGGCGACGACGGGUAGCCGGCCUGAGAGGGUGACCGGCCACACUGGGACUGAGAUACGGCCCAGACUCCUACGGGAGGCAGCAGUGGGGAAUAUUGCACAAUGGGCGCAAGCCUGAUGCAGCGACGCCGCGCGAGGGAUGACGGCCUUCGGGUUGUAAACCUCUUUCAGCACCGACGAAGCGCAAGUGACGGUAGGUGCAGAAGAAGGACCGGCCAACUACGUGCCAGCCGCCGCGGUAA
This 478-nucleotide ribosomal RNA is filed under the name uncultured bacterium. Its description in RNAcentral is "partial 16S ribosomal RNA". It matches the Rfam family "Bacterial small subunit ribosomal RNA", at positions 28 to 523 of the family's 1533-position model. The record is from RNAcentral.